AUGAGUAAAGUCACAGUCCAUGUCGGACUCUCGAGCCUCGGCGACAGGUUCUACCUCGGGAUCUGGUACAAGAACAUCCCCGUCCAGACCGUUGUCUGGAGCUUCGACCAUCCGACGGACACGCUGGUGCCUGAAGCGUGGGUCGAGGAGAACAAGCUCACCGGCGAGUAUCAGGCGCUGACGUCGUGGCGGAACGCCCAAGACCCCGCGCCCGGGAUGUUCUACAACACGGUGGACCCCAACGGCACCAGCGAAUUCUUCUUGAUGUGGAACAGGUCCCGCACGUACUUUCGGACCGGCAUCUGGACGGGGCGCAUCUUCGCGACCGCGACGGAGGCGAUGAGGACCAUGCUCACCAUGAACACGACGUACGUCGAGACGCCGGCGUACCGGCGCCUCACCAACAGCUGGCAACCCUUCUGGACUGCACCCGCCGUGCAGUGCAACGUGUACGCGCUCUGCGGCGCGUUCGGCGUCUGCGAUCAGAGGAGCCAGCUGCCAUGCCGGUGCCCGCCCGGGUUCGUUCCAGUGUCGGAGGGGGACUGGGUGCUUAGCGAUUGGAGCAGUGGCUGCCGGCGGAGCUCUCCGCUCACCUGCGCGCACAACGAGUCGACGACCGAUGGGUUCCUAGCGUUGCCAGACGUGAAGCUCCCCGACGACUCACUCGCCGUGGGCGCCGCCAAGAGCAAAGCAGAGUGCGAAUCGACUUGCCAAAAUAAUUGCUCUUGCCAGGCCUACGUCUUCGCUGCCGGGGGCGGGGGAUGCACUGUCUGGCAUGGAGAGAUCCGCAACCUUGAGCAGCUCUACGCUGAUUCCGGCGUCUCUGGCUCAGACCUCCAUCUCCGGCUUUCAGAAGCAGGAUUGCAAGAUCUUGGCGUCUCCGGCACAAACGGGAAGAAACGGGGGAGAACAUUAUGGCUUGUUCUUGGCGUCCCAUUGGCUGGUGUUGCAGCAUUCGGCGUGUUGGUAAUACUGGCCUGGAGGAUUCUCCUUGCUAGGAGAAGACGACUGGCAAACGAGAAGGGAUCCUCCUUGGUCGUGUACAAUUAUGGCGACCUUUGUGCCGCCACGAAGAACUUCUCAGAGUGGCUGGGCGGCGGCGGUUUUGGCUCGGUGUACCGCGGAGUCCUGAAGCAGCAGAAGGGAGACAAUACAACCCAGCUCCAGGUGGCAGUCAAGAAGCUGGAGAGCCUUGGGCGGCAGGGCGACAAGCAGUUCCGGACAGAGGUGAGCACGUUGGGCUGCAUCCAGCACGUGAACCUCGUCCGUCUCCUCGGGUUCUACUCGUCGGACGUCGAGAAGAUGCUCGUGUACGAGUACAUGCCAAGGGGCUCCCUCGACCGCUCUCUCUUCGGCGGGGGCGCAACCCUGAGCUGGCGUGAACGGGGGCCGUACGUCAGGGGAUCCGGCUCCGUGGGGAGAGGGUUGGCAUACCUGCACCACGGUUGUCAUGAGUGCAUCAUACACUGCGACAUCAAGCCGGAGAACAUCCUUCUGGACAAUGACAUGUCCCCGAGGAUCGCCGACUUCGGGAUGGCGAAGCUGGUGGGGAGGGACUUUAGCCGCGCGCUGACAACGAUGCGGGGCACCAUCGGGUACCUGGCUCCGGAGUGGAUCUCCGGGCAGCCCAUCAGCGCUAAGGCGGACGUGUACAGCUUCGGGAUGGUGCUAUUCGAGCUCAUCUCAGGCCGACGAAACUCCGAGGGAUACAGCGAGGUGGAGGCGACAGGGAGCGGGAGCAGUGAUUCGUGGACCUUCUUCCCUUAUGGGCUGCAGGGAAGGUGGUGGAAGGGGAGGUGGCCGCCGUGGCAGAGGAGACCUACAAGUCCAACAAAUCAAAGCUACAAACCGGCUAAAACGACAAGACAAGACACAAAAGGUUAA
Molecule: ribosomal RNA, 1884 nt
Filed under: Triticum aestivum (bread wheat)
Lineage: Eukaryota; Viridiplantae; Streptophyta; Magnoliopsida; Poales; Poaceae
Description: partial small subunit ribosomal RNA
Source: RNAcentral